This 1557-nucleotide long non-coding RNA is filed under the name Lactuca sativa (garden lettuce). RNAcentral's name for it is "long non-coding RNA (LSAT_LNC005762)". The record is from RNAcentral. Lineage: Eukaryota; Viridiplantae; Streptophyta; Magnoliopsida; Asterales; Asteraceae.
UCUCUCUGUUUGGCUUACCUCUCUCUCAUUCAUCCCGCCGUAACCUAGCGGCGAUCUAGCCGUUCUCUGGUCGGAUCUCCGACUAAUCUAUCCAUACCUAUUAUCCUUCCCUCUCCUCUCUCUCUAGCUACCUGUAACCAUUUCAAAAACAAAACAAAAAACAAGCAUCUACAAAAAAGCGAAAAAAUUUCUAGGGUUUCUGCGGUGUGUUUUGUUGUAAGUUGAAUUUUUAUCUGAGUUUCCCUUCUAUCUAUCUAUUAAGAUUUGAAAUAAGAAGGGGGAGAGGGAAGUUACAAAAGCAAAAAAAAGAGAAAAAUACCUGGAAAAGAGAAAAUUUUUGCUAGGGUUUUGAGAUGGCGGCGCAAGUUCUUCAACCUCAACCGGUGAACGGUGGUGCUGCAUCUGGCGGCAACGCUCAGCAGUUUGUCCCAACGUCGUUGUAUGUCGGUGAUUUGGAGAUGAACGUCACCGAUUCGCAACUGUUUGAGCUGUUUAGCCAGCUAGGUCAGGUGGUUUCGGUUCGAGUUUGCAGGGAUUUGUCUACUCGACGAUCUCUUGGCUAUGGCUAUGUCAACUAUGUGAACCCACAGGAUGGUUAGUUCCGCCGAAAUCUAUUUUCUUUAGUGCAAUGUGUAUAAUCUGUCUAACUUGCUAGCGUUUCGCUUUCUUCUGAUAGUACUUGAUUUCAAUUAGCAAUAAUGGUAGCUGAAAAUCAAAUCGAAUAUGCAAAUAAGUAACUGGAUUCGUUUUUGAUGAAGACGAAAUUAAAAACCUAGAAUAUAGAUGCAUUGUGUGAACUGUUUCGAUUGAUCUUCAAGAUUUAUGUCUCAAACUCCAUUUGUUAUGUUAAUGACAGCUGCAAGGGCGAUAGAGGUGCUGAACUUCACACCUCUCAAUGGAAAGGCUGUUAGGAUAAUGUAUUCCCAUCGUGAUCCCAGUGUACGCAAGAGUGGAUCUGGGAAUAUAUUUAUCAAGGUAUUUUUAAACUUCAAAAUCUAUCUAACUAUACGUUUAUUGUCUUCAUUACUGAUUGAUCUCUUGUUUGUUUCUUGAAUGUCACAGAAUUUGGACAAGGCAAUUGACCAAAAAGCACUUCAUGACACCUUCUCUACAUUUGGCAACAUCCUUUCUUGCAAGAUUGCUACUGACAUGACUGGUCAAUCAAAGGGCUAUGGAUUUGUGCAGUAUGACACUGAGGAAGCUGCACAACAAGCCAUUGAGAAGCUGAAUGGCAUGCUUCUGAAUGACAAGCAAGUGUUUGUAGGCCCCUUCCUACGUAAGCAAGAAAGAGAAUUGGCUGUUGACAAGAGCAAAUUCACUAAUGUCUUUGUUAAGAACCUGUCUGAAUCAACAACAGAUGAUGACUUAAACAAAGCAUUCAGUGAAUACGGAACAAUCACAAGUGCAGUUGUGAUGAGGGAUGCAGAAGGCAACUCCAAAUGCUUUGGUUUUGUCAACUUUGAAAAUGCUGAAGAUGCUGCAAAAGCUGUAGAUGGUCUUAAUGGACAGAAGUUUGAUGAUAAAGAAUGGUAUGUUGGAAAAGCCCAGAAAAAGAAU